ACGAACGCUGGCGGCGUGCUUAACACAUGCAAGUCGAACGAUGAAGCCAGCUUGCUGGUGGAUUAGUGGCGAACGGGUGAGUAACACGUGAGUAACCUGCCCUUGACUCUGGGAUAAGCGUUGGAAACGACGUCUAAUACCGGAUAUGACCUUCAGCCGCAUGGUUUGUUGGUGGAAAGAAUUUUGGUCAAGGAUGGACUCGCGGCCUAUCAGGUUGUUGGUGAGGUAAUGGCUCACCAAGCCUACGACGGGUAGCCG
This 258-nucleotide ribosomal RNA is filed under the name Microbacteriaceae bacterium ISO531_OTU88394. RNAcentral describes it as "partial 16S ribosomal RNA". It matches the Rfam family "Bacterial small subunit ribosomal RNA", at positions 29 to 289 of the family's 1533-position model. The record is from RNAcentral. Lineage: Bacteria; Bacillati; Actinomycetota; Actinomycetes; Micrococcales; Microbacteriaceae.